AUUGAACGCUGGCGGCAGGCCUAACACAUGCAAGUCGAACGAGUGGCGGACGGGUGACCAAUGUCUGGGCAACUGCCUGAUGGAGGGGGAUAACUAACGGACACGGUAGCUAAUACCGUAUACCUGCACAUGUGCCGAGUUGGGAUUCGGGAGUUGGUGGGGCAACGGCUAACCAAGGCGACGAGCCCUACCUGGUCUGCGAGGAUGACCAGCCACACUGGAACUGAGACACGGUCCAGACUCCUACGGGAGGCAGCAGUGGGGAAUAUUGCACAAUGGGCGAAAGCCGGAUGCAGCCAUGCCGCGUGUGUGAAGAAGGCCUUCGGAUUGUAAAGUACUUUCAGCGGGGAGGCGUUACCCGCAGAAGAAGCACCGGCUAACUCCGUGCCAGCAGCCGCGGUAAUAC
Molecule: ribosomal RNA, 406 nt
Filed under: uncultured bacterium
Lineage: Bacteria
Description: partial 16S ribosomal RNA
Rfam family: Bacterial small subunit ribosomal RNA
Source: RNAcentral